This 407-nucleotide ribosomal RNA is filed under the name uncultured bacterium. RNAcentral's name for it is "bacterial SSU rRNA". It matches the Rfam family "Bacterial small subunit ribosomal RNA", at positions 354 to 776 of the family's 1533-position model. The record is from RNAcentral.
GUGGGGAAUAUUGGGCAAUGGGCGCAAGCCUGACCCAGCAAUGCCGCGUGAAGGAAGAAGGCUUUCGGGUUGUAAACUUCUUUGACAGGGGAAGAGCAGAAGACGGUACCCUGAAAACAAGCCACGGCUAACUACGUGCCAGCAGCCGCGGUAAUACGUAGGUGGCAAGCGUUGUCCGGAUUUACUGGGUGUAAAGGGCGUGUAGCCGGGAAGGCAAGUCAGAUGUGAAAUCCGGAGGCUCAACCUCCGAAUUGCAUUUGAAACUGUUUUUCUUGAGUACUGGAGAGGCAGACGGAAUUCCUUGUGUAGCGGUGAAAUGCGUAGAUAUAAGGAGGAACACCAGUGGCGAAGGCGGUCUGCUGGACAGCAACUGACGGUGAGGCGCGAAAGCGUGGGGAGCAAACAGG